CCCUUAGAUGUUCUCGGCCGCACACGCGCUACACUGAAAGAGGCAACGUGUUUGCCUGAUUCGAAAGAAUUGGGUAACCCCCUAAUCUCUUUCGUGCUGGGGAUUGAGGUUUGCAAUUAUCCUUCAUGAACGAGGAAUUCCCAGUAAGUGCGAGUCAUUAUCUCGCGCUGACUACGUCCCUGCCCUUUGUACACACCGCUCGUCGCUACUACCGAUUGAAUGAUUUAGUGAGGACUUCGGACUGAGUCCAAUGCGGCUUUCGGGCUGCGUUGGUAUUUCGGAAAGAUGUCCAAACUGUAUCAUUUAGAGGAAGUAAAAGUCGUAACA
Molecule: ribosomal RNA, 327 nt
Filed under: uncultured eukaryote
Lineage: Eukaryota
Description: partial 18S ribosomal RNA
Rfam family: Eukaryotic small subunit ribosomal RNA
Source: RNAcentral